Molecule: long non-coding RNA, 2135 nt
Organism: Mastomys coucha (southern multimammate mouse)
Lineage: Eukaryota; Metazoa; Chordata; Mammalia; Rodentia; Muridae
Exons: 2
Source: RefSeq, a predicted model, not a curated record
UGGUGGAUCACACGCUGGGUCUGGGUUAAGUCCACAAAGAACUCUUACUGGCCGGAGACCUUCCACUUCUCACCUUCAGGAAGCCAACUGCCCAGUAAGAAGUAAGACUACAUCCUGAGCCAAGCCCACGUCACAUGCAGAGGCCCUCGAGGAAGGGACGCUGUUCAAGCUAGGCCCAGGAAUCCUGGGCGCAGCAAUGGGAGUAAGCCAAGCAGCCAGGAAAAUGGCUUUUCCCCUCUCACUGCCCAAAGGAACUCCGUGUGAGUCAAAGAAGAAGUGCCCGGACCUGUCCUUCCUGAGUCACACUUCAGGCACUGGAUGUAACGGCUGUGGGAAGCCACUCAGCUUAAAGGACUGUCAGUUAUGAAGCAACGGGCAACUGGAACAAAGAUGGGAGAAACGGGUGGGCCAGGAGGAGCAGCGGAGCGCGGUGAUGGAAGUGGGAAGUGGAUGAGGGGUACUGCCAUCCGGAGAGGUGAGGCCUUGAGGCCGGGAAAGCUGAGCAAAUGUGUGUCACCACACAGCUGCCACAGGCCCGGACUUUAAAUCCAGACUGGGCACUCUCCACCACCACAGAUAACAGCCAUCCGGAGCAAUAGAGUCACCGACUUUUGGAACAGGAAGGGGUCCUUAUCUCAUAAAAACUCAAGUCUUUCGAAGCUGGGCCAAUUAGAGGAUGAGAAGGAAAUUCUAUAUCUGGGUCUGCUAAGCCAUGCUCUAAAUACUGGAUGGAGGACCUAGCAAUAAGAAUACUUGCCUGUGUGCCAAGAGCUCCUGGACUGAUGCAGCACCACCUUGGAACAGAAGUAAAACCAGAGAUCUAGUUACACCAUCCCACUUGGGGGGUCUGGGGAAGGCAAGCCCUUUAUUGAUUGGUGUCUUUUUUUAAAAGCAACCUGUAUUAUCUGUAUAAAACAAUGUGAUAGACACUUUCCUGGAAACAGAACACAAGAGUAGAAUCCUAAGUAAAAGGCCAAAUGCAGAGAAUAAACAGAAGCCAGACUGGUGAAUGGAUGGGGAGUUUCCACGACCAAGAAAACUCUCAUAAGGACAACAUUUCAUUGGGGCUGGCUUACAGGUUCAGAGAUUCAGUCCAUUAUCAUCAAGGCAGGAGCAUCAUGGCAGCAUCCAGGCAGGCAUGGUGUGGGAGGAGUGGAAUCUUGUUCCGAUGGCAAACAGAAGACGGGCUCCCACAGGGCUAGGAGGAAGGUCUCAAAGCCCACUCCCACAGCGACACACUUCCUCUAACAAGGCCACACCUCCUAAGAGUGCCACUCCCUGGGCCAAGCACACUGGGAGACAUGAAAAGAUAGAGUGUGGCUCAUUACAUUUCAGUUUGGAAAAAUCCAUUUGGCAUUAAGACUGCUAUUUGCAAUAAUCCAGGGAGUUAACAGCUUAGAGCUAGGUGGUGCCUGUGUGGAGAGAGGUAUGGGUAAAUUUUUUUAAGGGGGUAAUUCUGUCAGAACAUGUGAAUGAAGCAAUGUGGAGACCAAGAGCAAGAAGAAGUGGAACAAUUAGAUCAGCAGCAGCUUGCGAAGUGACAGAAGUGAAGAUCUGGGUAUUGUUGACAUCAGGGGGAUUUUGAAGGCAUGGGUCUAUAUUAGCGCACCCAAACCCACCUGACAAGACAUAUAAAGAAGAAGAGCAAUGGGCCAGAAGCAAACACAGACAGACAGACAGAAGAAAAUAAGCCAAAGGAAAGCCCUGCCCCCGAGGUGCAGCUUUCCCACAGCAGGUACAUACCAGUUCCACAAUAAACUGCUCUCCAUCCAUACGAGAGCAGACACAGUGAUCCUCUGGGAUUGUCAAUCUGACAUUUCCCUGUCUGUGUGAGGAAACUGAACCACUUUACAGGUAGCCAUGUGUGGAAGCACAUAUAAAGAAGUAUAUAACCAUCUUAAUUGCAGAGAAAUAUUUUUCUUCAUUCACACACACACACACACACACACACACACACACUUUCAUUACCUCUCAUCUUAACUGCAGAGAAAUGUUUUUCUUCAUACACACACACACACACACACACACACACACAUGCGCGCACGCACAAUUUCAUUACCUCUCAAGUGUGAAGUCCUUUAAGCUAUUUCUUCUCUUUGUAAACACUUAAGUAUGAAAUUUCCCUUAAAAAUACU